CAGGAAAGGAAAGUAGAAGACACGCAUAUAACUUUUCAGCUAAUGAAAUUUUGUUGACCAAACAACAUUCAUUUUGCUUGUCAUAUUUGUGGUAGUUCAAUUGAUAUGGUGAUCCUCUAUGAUUUUGGUUCUUGGUGAGCUGAAAUCUGACAAAGCUCAUUUAAGUCUUUGAAUUUCAGUUAAGGCCAAUGUCUUUAUGUUGUAUGUAAUGAACACAUUUCAAAAACUCAAGUGUUAUUUGAAUAAAAUAUCUACAUUUGUGUUGGAUUGGAUUA
This is a long non-coding RNA of Carya illinoinensis, 275 nucleotides long. RefSeq lists it as uncharacterized. Lineage: Eukaryota; Viridiplantae; Streptophyta; Magnoliopsida; Fagales; Juglandaceae. The transcript has 2 exons. The record is from RefSeq and is a predicted model, not a curated record.